UGUUGUUAAUUUAUAGAUAAGUAUCGACCUAUCGACAUGCCGAUAACUUGUUAAGACACUGGCAGUACGAGUUUAGACUUAGAGUUUAAAAAAGGGAAAUGCAAAUCCUACGUCGGUAAAUUCUAAUUUAACUUGUGGAUUAUUGUAGUAGACACAUAUGAAUUACGGUAAACGUUUUUCGAAACGGUAAUCUUGUAGGAAAUGAAUCAUUUGAAACGAACGGCGUCCAUAGUUUGUGUCGCUUCAAUCAGUAACUCAUACAUAAUGAUUUUUAUCAUCCUAAGCAUCGCGGGAAGGAAUUGUUAAUGGGCCCGAUAACUAUGAGAGCAUCGUCGAAACCUUGAAUUCACGAAAUAGAAGUUGAACGAGUUGUUGAACAUGUUCACAAACCAGUAAUUGAAUGCAUAUUUAACGACGAAAUUAUACAUUUAAAUGAGAAGAGUAAAAAUAUAAAGCCGCGGAUAUGUUAUUGAAGUGAAACAGUACACGUUGCGGUUUAUCUAAUACUUGCAUAACUCUUUGUUACAAAAUGUUUAAAGUUUCCGCGUACUUGUGUGACAACUGGAUCGAGACAAUUUGUAACCUGAUUUAAUAUACAGGGUGCCUUCAAAGGUGUUUGUAGGUGUUUUUGCGAAGUAUGAUAAAUUAUUAGAUGUAGAAAUGAAUUCUACAACUUUAAAGCAGUUAAUCAACGAAGCACGUGCAAAGAGAGACAUGACAGCUUGUCAUGUAUGCUACACUUACGUUCGUAUCAUGUUAUAAAUCACAGAAACAAAAAAAGGAUUUGCAAAGGAGAAAGGAAAUAACAAUUGAUUUCGUAGAUUGUUUAUUAUUUGAUGUGAAUUGCACGUAUGGAAUCGGGUGAGCGCUUGGAGAGCUCGAACGCGACUGCCAGUUGCCCCAUUCAACCCGAAAAAUGCCUGGAACUUAUCCCCUCUCCGUUUUUGGCAAAUUUCCAAAGGCGCGAACUUCCGUGCUUGCGUGGGGUAGCCUGACGGUCCCGGAUCAACUACAGUGUCGACCCGUGCACGUUUACCUGCAUAAUCGGGAGCAUUUCGCGACUCUAUCGAGGUGGAUUUUGGCCUAAGGACUUUACUCCUUAUCCGUAUGACUUCCAAGUUUUUCCGACGCACUUGGGUACAUAAAGGUGAUUUCGCAAUAUGCAUUUUUAAGCAGGCGACGAUUCUUCCAACAAUCGUGAGCCGCAUUUUCGGAAUUUGCUAACCUUGAAUUUCGCAUCACGGAAACGGUCCUUGACUCCAAACUGGUUCAAGUAAUUGUCUGGAAGCUUACUCUUGUUUUCGCGAGCUAUCGCCGCGGACAUCAAUCGACCCCACACCGUGAAAGUUGGAGAGAAAAGUCGAAUUUCUACUCUUUAGAUUUCAACGUUUCGAGAUCAAGAUUCUCCAAGGGAGGUUUUAUCAUUUUUAAGUGGACACUUGAAGUGAACGCUUGAACAUUCAAUUCAAAUCUGUGUACUUCAUCUACAAUUUUAAAAAUCAAAUAAAUAUUAAUAGAAAACAAAUGAUUUCAAACAAAUCUAACUAUACAAAUACAUGUAUUUGUACAGUUAAAUUUAUAUAUAAACUAAGCAAAUUUUAAUUAAUAACUCCAUUGACUGUCCUCAACACGAAAAAAUUCAUUGUCAGUUCGAAUCGAUUGCUGAGAUCGAUGUACAUGUAUUAAAUGUUAAUUUUUAUUGCUUUUAAGUAUAGAACGUACAUGCAUAAUGUAUAGAAAUUCAUACCGAAUUCCUCCAUUAAAUUAGAUGGUAAUAAGCUACCAAUGUAAGCAUGAGUAAUUGUAUGAAUUCGUUACAUACGUUAGAAUUCGUGAAUUGUUUAUGCAGAACAUACGGGAAUACGAAAGAUUAAAUGCCUCGAAAACUGGUUGCGCUCGCAAUUUAUUUUCGUGAACCAAGACUUCCUCGUUCCUGUACACACGGCUACACACGUGCUAUGUGCUAAAAUUUGUUUACGACACCAUACUUGCGAAAUGUGUUUAAAUACGCGUACACCUAUUAGACGAAAACAAUAGUUGUUAAUAGCAGUGUGGCAAUAGUUUAUAAUUUUACACAAAGUAUUUAUGCGUCUCCAGUGAUCGUAAUUGGAUAAGAUGCUGGACUCUAAUAACAACUACUUAAGUUAUUUGAAUGGUUACCAUGGAAAUAGAAAAUCAUGAUUGCGCAGGACAAUGUUGUUUUCAGACAAUACAGCCGAGUGUGUUUGUUUACAUAAACAUGAGCAGUCAACUGUGAAUAUAUUUCUUACACGCUAUUUCGGGUACACUAUACAAUAAAUAUUAAAAAUAGAAAAUAGACAUAAAUAUGUGGUCGCUGAAAACUACAUUAGAAGUGCUCAUCAAUAUAGAAAUCUAUUUUACAGUCUCUAAUCUCCUUGAAACACUUCGGUAAAACGGCAAAUGUAUUACAGUAAAUUUUUGUUAUUAUUUAUGAACGUGAGAGGAUCACAGAAUCACGGAAGUCCUAUUUUCCAGAAGAUUUUUCUGUUAAUAAUUUCGACCUGCCUUUUAUCGUAGAACUAUCGUUUUCCAGCACUCGUGGAUUAUUCCAGAUGAAGGUAAUAAAAUGGAUCGAGAGUCGAGAGAGAGAGAAAAUUACUAUUUUAACCGAGUGAGCGUUCCUCCACAUUCAGAGAUACGUGUUGGUUGUACGUGUACUUGAAACUGGAUCAGAAAAAAAGUUACUUCGAAUGAUAUUAUUCAGACCGAGAUUACUCACGUAUUUAUGUGACGCAACUGUGUAAAAACGUCAUCUGCGGGUAUGGUUGUGAGACAUAUCCUACGUUCCAGACAAUUCCUCGAUGACGAAAAUUUUCCAUUUUUCUGUCCUCUGGCCGAGUGGGUGAAAAAUCACGCGAUUUUAGGAAGCCUGACGUCGAGCCACCGUUAAAUUUUAUAUUUAGACGUUGACGUUGGAAAUAACUUGGGUAAGUUUCUGUUAGAGGCUUCCCCGUGAUUUAUAUUCGUACGAGGACAUGAUUCAUGGGAUUCGU
Molecule: long non-coding RNA, 3014 nt
Organism: Hylaeus volcanicus
Lineage: Eukaryota; Metazoa; Arthropoda; Insecta; Hymenoptera; Colletidae
Exons: 3
Source: RefSeq, a predicted model, not a curated record